This 805-nucleotide long non-coding RNA is filed under the name Homo sapiens (human). RNAcentral's name for it is "HSALNT0295438". The record is from RNAcentral. Lineage: Eukaryota; Metazoa; Chordata; Mammalia; Primates; Hominidae.
GUGUCACCCGCUUUCAUGAACAAUGCUGCCUGGAGCCUGUGGUGUUUAGAGGAGUAGAUUUAACCACAGAGGGUUUGUGGGAACUCCUAGUUCAGAACACAAGGGAGGAGAGAACAGAACAUUGAGAUGCAAAGAUUUAUGAGGGAGAAAGACUCAUGUAAGAAAAGGAAAUUAGAAACCAAGCAAGCAGAAUAUUCCAAAGACAGCCACAUACCACCCAUAAUAAUGAAGUUUCCAUGACUCUCUUUGGCUCAGAUAGGUCUGCUUAAUAAUUAAUAUGGCAACUCUCCCUCUCUCUGCAAACAGGUGGCUGUACAGGGCUUGGCAAAUAUUUCCUUAUUGCUCCCUUUACUUUCUCCGAGAGGAAGGUUGGGUGGUCCAGAGGAUUUCCCAGAUGGAGCAGCAGGCUUCCCAUGCCUGCCAUUUGCAUAAGUGGCAAGGGGGGGAAAUGAGGAGACCUUCCAAUGUCUUCUCUACCAAGUGAAUCUCUGACUCUACAAGUUUCCUUCCCAAGACACUGUGGUCCAGGGCUACCUCCCUUACAGCCUACAUGACAACAUGUGCAAAUUAUUUGUCAGCAUCUAAUUGCAAGAACGGGAGCUGCCUGCCUAGAGGAAACAGGGAGCCUUUAGCCUGCUCCUCCAGGCUCAACAUUUGACAGGGGCAUGACCAUGUCCAGCAUUGCUGAGUAACUGGGAAGAGAAGCCCACUGUUGCUGCACACCCUACGCCAAGCCUUCAAACAGUCCCAGCAGUAAUCAAGUGACCCAUAGCAACGGGAUGGCCAUCGUCUAAGAUAACCUGUU